This is a non-coding RNA of Momordica charantia (bitter melon), 659 nucleotides long. The record is from RefSeq and is a predicted model, not a curated record. NCBI's taxonomy places the organism in Eukaryota, Viridiplantae, Streptophyta, Magnoliopsida, Cucurbitales, Cucurbitaceae.
UCGUCAAGCCGCCGCCGCUCGUCGAUCGUCCCCUCUUCUCGCUGAUUAUCCCUUCCAACUUACUCUCUCAGUUUCGUAUGGAUCUCUGGGUAUAUGAGGUCGAGAUUGACGCUAAGGAUUGUGCAAAUGUCCAUUCCUUCAUCAUAAUGUUUAAACAGUCGAGAUUGAACUUAAUAUUGACUGUAAUGUUUUCCUUGCAUCAGUAUCGAUGAGCUCAACUAUUCUACAUCAGUGUCUAGAGGUAAUGUUGGGAGUAUCUAUUCAUUCAACAUAAGCUAAUUUUAUAGAAGGAACCAGAAAAAGGAAACAUUUAAUGCCGCUCUCCGGAUGGUGAUGAUCCAAUAAACAUGAUAGACAAGCGUGAAUGCAAUGCUUUUGAGGUCCGAUCAAGUAAAAGAGAACUAAGAAGUAAUGUGAAGGUUGGUUGUCCAAAUUACCGUUGACCAGCUCAAAGUGUCGGAUAUGGAGUUUAGAGCAUAGAUUUCAAACAAUGAUGGUUGAGAUGAUGUGUAAAAAGUAUUAAAGUAUGAUUAGAAAAUUCAAGUAUAAUAUCAAGAAAUGUGACUUUUUGUUUGUUCUCAGGACGUAUUUGUAUGUUUUGAAUUAGUUAUGGAAAAACCAUGAUGGUUUACUUGUUAAUUGUUGGAGACAUUGUUUUA